GGCGGGAUGGCCGAGCAGUCUAAGGCGCUGGUUUUAGCACCAGUCGCUUCGGAGGAGUGGGUUCGGAUCCCACUCUCGUCA
Molecule: transfer RNA, 81 nt
Organism: Toxocara canis (dog roundworm)
Lineage: Eukaryota; Metazoa; Nematoda; Chromadorea; Rhabditida; Toxocaridae
Rfam family: tRNA
About the family: Transfer RNA (tRNA) molecules are approximately 80 nucleotides in length.
Source: Rfam